This 775-nucleotide ribosomal RNA is filed under the name uncultured Neocallimastigales. RNAcentral describes it as "partial large subunit ribosomal RNA". It matches the Rfam family "Eukaryotic large subunit ribosomal RNA", at positions 26 to 634 of the family's 3401-position model. The record is from RNAcentral. Lineage: Eukaryota; Fungi; Neocallimastigomycota; Neocallimastigomycetes; Neocallimastigales.
CGCAUCUGUGCAUGCAGCAUAUCAAUAAGCGGAGGAAAAGAAACUAACAAGGAUUCCCCUAGUAACGGCGAGUGAAGCGGGAAGAGCUCAAAUUUGAAAUCUUAAAGGGUUUCCCUUUACGAAUUGUAGUUUAAAGAAGUGUUUUCUGUUGAGGUUUUGGUAAAAGUUCUUUGGAAUAGGACAUCAUAGAGGGUGAGAAUCCCGUAUUUGACCUUUACUUUCAACUUUGUGAUACACUUUCAAAGAGUCGGAUUGUUUGGGAAUGCAGUCCAAAAUGGGUGGUAAAUUUCAUCUAAAGCUAAAUAUUGGCGAGAGACCGAUAGCGAACAAGUACCGUGAGGGAAAGAUGAAAAGAACUUUGAAAAGAGAGUUAAACAGUACGUGAAAUUGUCAAAAGGGAAGCGUUUGACACCAGUGUUGUUUUUCUGAAAAUCAAUUAAAGAACUGUUUAUGCUAAGCUGUUUAGACUUUAUCAGCUAUCUGUUUAGUUUUAGGCUUUUCUUUAAUGCACUUUUCAGUUAACAAGUCAACAUCAAUUUCUUUUGCUGUAAAAAAGCUUGAGGAAGGUGGCUUGAGAUUCGUCUUAAGUGUUUAUAGCCUCUUGCCUAUGCAGUCGGAGAGAUUGAGGUCUGCAGCGUAGAUCCUUCGGGGCUAAAUGCAUUUGUGCUAAGUUAUAAGCAUUUUAUAGACAACUUGUUGACUAUGAUUUGUCUUGUAGCUUACUCGCUUAUGUUAUUUUACCUACGCUUAGGAUGUUGAACGCGCACAGAGUCUC